UGGGGAAUUUUCCGCAAUGGGCGAAAGCCUGACGGAGUGACGCCGCGUGGGGGACGAAGGCCUUCGGGUUGUAAACCCCUGUCAGAGGGAAAGAAGGGUUCGGGCGUGAAUAGCGCUCGGAUCUGACGGUACUCUCAGAGGAAGCCCCGGCCAACUCUGUGCCAGCAGCCGCGGUAAGACAGAGGGGGCAAGCGUUGCUCGGAAUCACUGGGCGUAAAGGGCGCGUAGGCGGGAUGGCAAGUCGGUCGUGAAAUCUCUCGGCCCAACCGAGAGGGGUCGGCCGAUACUGCCUUUCUUGAGGGAUGCAGAGGAGACUGGAAUUCCCGGUGUAGCGGUGAAAUGUGUAGAGAUCGGGAGGAACACCGGUGGCGAAGGCGGGUCUCUGGGCAUCUCCUGACGCUGAGGCGCGAAAGCGUGGGGAGCAAACGGGAUUAGAUACCCCGGUAGUCCACGCUGUAAACGAUGACGACUAGGUGUGGGGUGGUUCAGUCCACUCCGUGCCGCAGCUAACGCAUUAAGUCGUCCGCCUGGGGAGUACGGCCGCAAGGUUGA
RNAcentral lists this ribosomal RNA (552 nucleotides) under uncultured bacterium. RNAcentral describes it as "bacterial SSU rRNA". It matches the Rfam family "Bacterial small subunit ribosomal RNA", at positions 355 to 897 of the family's 1533-position model. The record is from RNAcentral.